CCCAUUGACACUGUGUUCUGAUUGGCAGGCUUCAGGAGGACGAUUGGGGUAAACAAUCCUCUCUCUCUGUGGACAAAGACUCCAGACGCCUCAGGCUGGAUGUGGAUAUACUAAUUUUUCCCCCGUCACCUGUUUCAUUUACCCUGUCACAAGCCGACAGCCCAACCAGCGGCAGCUUUACCGACUUCAUCCACAAGUUUUGCGAUGUCACAGGUUUGAGAGCAAGUUCACAUAGGAAUCUAGGUGACUGUAUGGAUGUUUUUGAGUCCUUGACUGACUGGAGACUCCAGACUCUGCCUGGUCUGGAGAAGGUGAAGUUGGCGGUGAGCUGCCUGACUGAGAGCUGGGCCCACUGGAUCCUCAACCUCAUCCACAUGUGCCCCACUCUGAAGGAAGUAAAGUUAUAUGCUUCAUUGGGCUUUUAUUCGGCUGAGGAGGUGAUCAGUCUUCUGCAGGAGUCCUAUAAGCGUCCAGAUUGCACUGUGAUCCUCAAGGGGAGGAGAUGCACUAAACCCAG
Long non-coding RNA from Clupea harengus (Atlantic herring), 517 nucleotides. NCBI's taxonomy places the organism in Eukaryota, Metazoa, Chordata, Actinopteri, Clupeiformes, Clupeidae. The record is from Ensembl.